AGGGAGCAGCCCCCUUUUGCUCCCACAUAAGGGUUUUGGGGAUGGUGUGGGGCUCAUGGCUGUGGGGCAAAUACUUGGUUUCCCCCAAAAGUAGGAUGGGGAAGAGGGGUUUAGAGCUGUGUUGGCCACUCCACUGAUGUCUGUGCCCCCCUGUGUGCUCCCAGCAGCGCUCCUGGUCCAGGGCCAGUACAGCAGGUUUGAAGGCAUCACCUACCCUGAGCCGGUGCAAUAUUCCCAGUACGACCAGCAGGCAGAUUCAGGAUUACUACGACUACCACGAUGUGACCCCCCGCACCCCUGAGGAGCAGUUUCGGUACCAGUCCCAGCAGCAGUCCCAGCAGGAGAUCGUGCCAGCUCCAACCCCAGGUGGGUGUGAUACGACGGCCACAUCCCCACCACGGUGCUGCUCCCGAGCCGAGCAGCACCCCAGG
Molecule: long non-coding RNA, 431 nt
Filed under: Anas platyrhynchos platyrhynchos (common mallard)
Lineage: Eukaryota; Metazoa; Chordata; Aves; Anseriformes; Anatidae
Description: lncRNA (ENSAPLG00000024692.1)
Source: RNAcentral